Molecule: long non-coding RNA, 384 nt
Filed under: Helianthus annuus (common sunflower)
Lineage: Eukaryota; Viridiplantae; Streptophyta; Magnoliopsida; Asterales; Asteraceae
Description: sRNA HanXRQr2_Chr11g0517371
Source: RNAcentral
GUUGUAUUAGAUUGAUUAUUAUCAACAACUAAAACAAACCCUACCCUCCUCUCAAGAACACGCACGGCAACAGGAGACCCCCCCCCCCCUGUUCGCAGCUUAUUGGUUUGUACGCCCUCAUCACUUCUUGGUUAGGUUUAUGGUUAGAAUUGGAAGGUGUGGGUGUCCAAUGAUAAACAAGUAAAUUAAUCUUACCGAGCAAAACUAAGGUCGUUAGAUAUCUUGGAUUUGGGAACUUGCUGCCUGGAGUAGCUGGAGUGGUCAUGGGUCGACUGGAGGGAUUCAUGUGACUGAAUUAUUGAUAUUAUACAUUGGUUUUGAAACAGUUUAACUUUGGUUUACUAUUUGCUUCCUCUGAACAUGUUGGUUUUUAUUGAAACUCGU